This 973-nucleotide ribosomal RNA is filed under the name Staphylococcus aureus. Its description in RNAcentral is "bacterial SSU rRNA". It matches the Rfam family "Bacterial small subunit ribosomal RNA", at positions 53 to 1007 of the family's 1533-position model. The record is from RNAcentral. Lineage: Bacteria; Bacillati; Bacillota; Bacilli; Caryophanales; Staphylococcaceae.
ACAUGCAAGUCGAGCGAACGGACGAGAAGCUUGCUUCUCUGAUGUUAGCGGCGGACGGGUGAGUAACACGUGGAUAACCUACCUAUAAGACUGGGAUAACUUCGGGAAACCGGAGCUAAUACCGGAUAAUAUUUUGAACCGCAUGGUUCAAAAGUGAAAGACGGUCUUGCUGUCACUUAUAGAUGGAUCCGCGCUGCAUUAGCUAGUUGGUAAGGUAACGGCUUACCAAGGCAACGAUGCAUAGCCGACCUGAGAGGGUGAUCGGCCACACUGGAACUGAGACACGGUCCAGACUCCUACGGGAGGCAGCAGUAGGGAAUCUUCCGCAAUGGGCGAAAGCCUGACGGAGCAACGCCGCGUGAGUGAUGAAGGUCUUCGGAUCGUAAAACUCUGUUAUUAGGGAAGAACAUAUGUGUAAGUAACUGUGCACAUCUUGACGGUACCUAAUCAGAAAGCCACGGCUAACUACGUGCCAGCAGCCGCGGUAAUACGUAGGUGGCAAGCGUUAUCCGGAAUUAUUGGGCGUAAAGCGCGCGUAGGCGGUUUUUUAAGUCUGAUGUGAAAGCCCACGGCUCAACCGUGGAGGGUCAUUGGAAACUGGAAAACUUGAGUGCAGAAGAGGAAAGUGGAAUUCCAUGUGUAGCGGUGAAAUGCGCAGAGAUAUGGAGGAACACCAGUGGCGAAGGCGACUUUCUGGUCUGUAACUGACGCUGAUGUGCGAAAGCGUGGGGAUCAAACAGGAUUAGAUACCCUGGUAGUCCACGCCGUAAACGAUGAGUGCUAAGUGUUAGGGGGUUUCCGCCCCUUAGUGCUGCAGCUAACGCAUUAAGCACUCCGCCUGGGGAGUACGACCGCAAGGUUGAAACUCAAAGGAAUUGACGGGGACCCGCACAAGCGGUGGAGCAUGUGGUUUAAUUCGAAGCAACGCGAAGAACCUUACCAAAUCUUGACAUCCUUUGACAACUCUAGAGAU